CGGCAGCGGACCUUCGGGUGCCGGCGAGUGGCGAACGGGUGAGUAAUGUAUCGGAACGUACCUUUCAGUGGGGGAUAACGUAGCGAAAGUUACGCUAAUACCGCAUAUUCUGUGAGCAGGAAAGCAGGGGAUCGCAAGACCUUGCGCUGAUUGAGCGGCCGAUAUCAGAUUAGCUAGUUGGUGAGGUAAAGGCUCACCAAGGCGACGAUCUGUAGCGGGUCUGAGAGGAUGAUCCGCCACACUGGAACUGAGACACGGUCCAGACUCCUACGGGAGGCAGCAGUGGGGAAUUUUGGACAAUGGGGGCAACCCUGAUCCAGCCAUGCCGCGUGAGUGAAGAAGGCCUUCGGGUUGUAAAGCUCUUUCGUCCGGGAAGAAAUCGCAUCAGCUAAUACCUGGUGUGGAUGACGGUACCGGAAUA
This 421-nucleotide ribosomal RNA is filed under the name uncultured bacterium. RNAcentral describes it as "bacterial SSU rRNA". It matches the Rfam family "Bacterial small subunit ribosomal RNA", at positions 67 to 485 of the family's 1533-position model. The record is from RNAcentral.